UGGCUCUCGCAUCGAUGAAGAACGCAGCGAAAUGCGAUAAGUAAUGUGAAUUGCAGAAUUCAGUGAAUCAUCGAAUCUUUGAACGCAUCUUGCGCUCCUUGGUAUUCCAAGGAGCAUGCCUGUUUGAGUGUCAUUAAAUUAUCAACCUUUACCUGCUUUGAUGUUGGGUUAGGCUUGGAAGUGGGGGUUUUAAUUUGCAGGCUUUUACAGGUCAGCUCCCCUGAAAUUUAUUAGCAGUGCCCUUUGUAGUAAACAGCUAUUGGUGUGAUAAUUAUCUAUGCCAUUAGAUGCCCUGAUAAAAAGAGGGGGGGGGUUAUGCUGCUUCAAACUGUCUUUUUUAAUAGACAUUUAUAAUGAAAAUUUUGACCUCAAAUCAGGUAGGACUACCCGCUGA
RNAcentral lists this unclassified non-coding RNA (394 nucleotides) under uncultured fungus. RNAcentral's name for it is "partial contains 5.8S ribosomal RNA and internal transcribed spacer 2". The stretch from base 1 to 133 matches the Rfam family "5.8S ribosomal RNA", at positions 22 to 154 of the family's 154-position model. Lineage: Eukaryota; Fungi. The record is from RNAcentral.